GUGGGAUGUAAUCGCCUUAUUAUUAACUUGGACAACCUGGAGGUGAUCGAUACCUUGCAGGAUGACGGACGAUCGGCGGUUGCGGCGGCGGCAAUCUUCGAUGAUUGUUUUCAUUAUGUCUGUGAUUUCAUUACUACUAGAUUUGAACAUUGUAAUAGAGAAGCAAAUAAAGUAGCUCAUGACUCGCUAGAUUAA
Molecule: ribosomal RNA, 195 nt
Filed under: Triticum aestivum (bread wheat)
Lineage: Eukaryota; Viridiplantae; Streptophyta; Magnoliopsida; Poales; Poaceae
Description: partial small subunit ribosomal RNA
Source: RNAcentral